Molecule: ribosomal RNA, 403 nt
Filed under: uncultured bacterium
Lineage: Bacteria
Description: partial 16S ribosomal RNA
Rfam family: Bacterial small subunit ribosomal RNA
Source: RNAcentral
AUUGAACGCUGGCGGCAGGCCUAACACAUGCAAGUCGAGCGAGCGUCGGCCGGGUGAGUAAUGUAUGGGGACUGCACGAUAGAGGGGGAUAACUAAUGGAAACGGUGACUAAUACCGCAUACUAUCGGAUAACCCAUAGGGGAUUAGGUAGUAGGUGGGGUAAAGGCUCACCUAGGCGACGAUCUCUCGCUGGUAUGCAAGGAUGAUCAUACACACGGUGACUGAGACACGGCCCAGACUCCUACGGAGGCAGCAGUGGGGAAUAUUGCACAAUGGGAGAAAGCCUGAUGCAGCCAUGCCUCGUGUAUUAAGAAGGCCUUAGGGUUGUAAAGUACUUUCAGCGGGGAGGCGUUACCCGCAGAAGAAGCACCGGCUAACUCCGUGCCAGCAGCCGCGGUAAUAC